Long non-coding RNA from Pararge aegeria (speckled wood butterfly), 958 nucleotides. RefSeq lists it as uncharacterized. Lineage: Eukaryota; Metazoa; Arthropoda; Insecta; Lepidoptera; Nymphalidae. The transcript has 2 exons. The record is from RefSeq and is a predicted model, not a curated record.
UAUAUUUCAUUAGGGAAACACGUAUUAAAUUCAUUAAUUUUCUUUUAAAAUUGAACAAAUAGGUUCUAAAAUUAUUUCUUGAGGUUUAAAAAGAGGUAAUGAGACAUUGUUUCUAUCAAAGCGUUAAGUGUGUCAAUCGCAUUCAAGAUCAUUAGCUGAGUCAGUGAGUCAGGCAUCAAAUAUAUUUCAUUUAAGAAACACGUAUUAAAUUCAUUAAUUUUCUAUUAAGUGAAGUGAGUUUCUAAAAUGAUUUCCAGAGGUUAAAAAGAGAAAAUCUGCUUCAACACGGUGCAAUACCUUAAGAAGAUAGUCAUAUGACAAGAUAAUUUACAAAGUGUACUUUUCGAUUAAACAGAUAAAAAUAAGUGAUUGAAAUAACAUUGCUUAGAGCUUAGUGGACAUUAGUCUAGAAUCUAACAGAAGAAUAAACUAUUGUGUUUUAGUUAAGAGACAAGAAUAGAAGAAGAAUAAGAAGAGGUAUAGUAGAGAAUAGAAGUUAUACAGAAUGUGUUGCUGCUGCGAUUGUGGGAGCUGUGGCAAGAUAUUGAGAUGCCUGCUCUGUGUCACACUGGUGGUGUACCUGCUGAAGCUGUGCGGUGUCGAGGUGGAUGACAACUGCUGCUGUGGCGAUGACAACUAAGCCUUAACUGUCAAGCUAUAAACACCGCGUCCAAGUCAAUGAACGUUCUUCACGACUGCAGGACUUUUUUUUGUUAAGCUUUUUACGUAUUAUAGUAAGUCGGUAUGUGUAAAUAACAUUUUUGUAUUCUGUACCUUGGCAUUUUGGCCACUCAGAUAUCCUCGAGUUGUGUAUGUUAUUGACGUCAUGAUCCAAGAUGGCGCAAAUUUGAAAUUUAACGAAGAUACAAAUAAAUUAUGCCCGGAGUUUAGCAAAAAAAAAAAUAAGAAUAAUACGUUAAUUUGGAUUAAGAAUACUUGCUUAUGAGAAGAAUCAGAA